UGCGCAGGCGGGUUUGUAAGUCAGUGGUGAAAUCCUGCCGCUUAACGGUAGAAUUGCCAUUGAUACUGCGAAUCUCGAGUAUGGUUGAGGUAGGCGGAAUGUGUAGUGUAGCGGUGAAAUGCAUAGAUAUUACACAGAACUCCGAUUGCGAAGGCAGCUUACUAAGCCAUAACUGACGCUGAGGCACGAAAGCGUGGGGAGCGAACAGGAUUAGAUACCCUGGUAGUCC
Molecule: ribosomal RNA, 229 nt
Filed under: uncultured bacterium
Lineage: Bacteria
Description: partial 16S ribosomal RNA
Rfam family: Bacterial small subunit ribosomal RNA
Source: RNAcentral